ACCAAAGGCCAUAACACCCUGAACACAUUUGAUCUCGUCUGAUCUCAGAAGCUAAGGAGGGUCGGGGUGGGUUGGUAAUUGGAUGGGAGAAAGAGCACAAUUAGUAGUGUGUA
This is a ribosomal RNA of Erinaceus europaeus (western European hedgehog), 113 nucleotides long. NCBI's taxonomy places the organism in Eukaryota, Metazoa, Chordata, Mammalia, Eulipotyphla, Erinaceidae. The record is from Ensembl.